AUUGAACGCUGGCGGCAUGCCUUACACAUGCAAGUCGAACGGCAGCAUGGAAGAGCUUGCUCUUCUGGUGGCGAGUGGCGAACGGGUGAGUAAAGCAUCGGAACGUACCGUGUAGUGGGGGAUAACGUAGCGAGAGUUACGCUAAUACCGCAUACGCACUGAGGUGGAAAGCAGGGGAUCGCAAGACCUUGCGCUCAUGGAGCGGCCGAUGGCAGAUUAGGUAGUUGGUGGGAUAAAGGCUCACCAAGCCGACGAUCUGUAGCUGGUCUGAGAGGACGACCAGCCACACUGGAACUGAGACACGGUCCAGACUCCUACGGGAGGCAGCAGUGGGGAAUUUUGGACAAUGGGCGCAAGCCUGAUCCAGCAAUGCCGCGUGCAGGAAGAAGGCCUGGUUGUAAACUGACUUUGUACGACGAAACGUCCUGGUUAAUACCC
This 438-nucleotide ribosomal RNA is filed under the name uncultured bacterium. Its description in RNAcentral is "bacterial SSU rRNA". It matches the Rfam family "Bacterial small subunit ribosomal RNA", at positions 30 to 465 of the family's 1533-position model. The record is from RNAcentral.